RNAcentral lists this ribosomal RNA (240 nucleotides) under uncultured bacterium. Its description in RNAcentral is "partial 16S ribosomal RNA". It matches the Rfam family "Bacterial small subunit ribosomal RNA", at positions 82 to 339 of the family's 1533-position model. The record is from RNAcentral.
UCCUUCGGGAUUAGUGGCGGACGGGUGAGGAACACGUGGGAACGUGCCUUUUGGUUCGGAACAACUCAGGGAAACUUGAGCUAAUACCGGAUGUGCCCUUCGGGGGAAAGAUUUAUCGCCAUUAGAGCGGCCCGCGUCUGAUUAGCUUGUUGGUGAGGUAAAGGCUCACCAAGGCAACGAUCAGUAGCUGGUCUGAGAGGAUGAUCAGCCACACUGGGACUGAGACACGGCCCAGACUCC